Erpetoichthys calabaricus (reedfish) is the source of this 167-nucleotide long non-coding RNA. RefSeq lists it as uncharacterized. The record is from RefSeq and is a predicted model, not a curated record. The transcript is spliced from 3 exons. Lineage: Eukaryota; Metazoa; Chordata; Cladistia; Polypteriformes; Polypteridae.
UGUGUGAAGAAGAGUCUGGAGAAGAUCAGCCAGUGGGACAUCGUGACAUGGACUCUAUCAGGUCGUGAAGCUUCAGUUUUCACCCUACAGCCUCCUGAACCUCGGAGCAGAGACGAGUUUUUACAAUACUUCUGUCCACUCACACUGGACAUCAACACGGCACACAG